UGGGGAAUAUUGCACAAUGGGCGAAAGCCUGAUGCAGCAACGCCGCGUGAGCGAUGAAGGCCUUCGGGUCGUAAAGCUCUGUCCUCAAGGAAGAUAAUGACGGUACUUGAGGAGGAAGCCCCGGCUAACUACGUGCCAGCAGCCGCGGUAAUACGUAGGGGGCUAGCGUUAUCCGGAAUUACUGGGCGUAAAGGGUGCGUAGGUGGUUUCUUAAGUCAGAAGUGAAAGGCUACGGCUCAACCGUAGUAAGCUUUUGAAACUGAGAAACUUGAGUGCAGGAGAGGAGAGUAGAAUUCCUAGUGUAGCGGUGAAAUGCGUAGAUAUUAGGAGGAAUACCAGUUGCGAAGGCGGCUCUCUGGACUGUAACUGACACUGAGGCACGAAAGCGUGGGGAGCAAACA
RNAcentral lists this ribosomal RNA (401 nucleotides) under uncultured Eubacteriales bacterium. RNAcentral describes it as "uncultured Clostridiales bacterium partial 16S ribosomal RNA". It matches the Rfam family "Bacterial small subunit ribosomal RNA", at positions 355 to 774 of the family's 1533-position model. RNAcentral also lists the same sequence under 1 other name. Lineage: Bacteria; Bacillati; Bacillota; Clostridia; Eubacteriales. The record is from RNAcentral.